This 7911-nucleotide long non-coding RNA is filed under the name Prunus persica (peach). RNAcentral describes it as "long non-coding RNA (PPER_LNC007535)". The record is from RNAcentral. Lineage: Eukaryota; Viridiplantae; Streptophyta; Magnoliopsida; Rosales; Rosaceae.
GUACGUUAUCUUCCCUUCAUUUAUGGCUGGCACAACCAUUUCAAGAAACUUCCCGUAAAGAUGAUAGUAACUGGGAGCCACAAAACCUUCCAUACGGAGCUGUUUAGAGAUCACAGACGUUAAAUUAUGUACACCUUCUGGUUGCUCAAGGUUGUACUGUGAGAUCAUCCCACAAACUGCUAUUCGGCCAUGGAUCCUCAUGUUCAGUAGCACUGCAUCAAGCAUCUUUCCCCCAACAUUUUCAAAGUAUAUAUCGAUGCCUUCAGGAAAAUAUCUGUUAAGAAAAAUCAUACAUUUAGACCUUUCCUUCUUUAUUUUACACCAAUAUUAUGGAAUAUAGGAAGAGGAGCAACAGCCGCACAUACUGGAGGCCUCUCCUUAUUUAUUUUGCUUUGUUCAUUUUAUACCUUUCAAGGAGGGGUCGUACCACCAAGACAUGAGAAACUCAGUAUAUAUAGCUCCAACAGAUGAAAAUUAUAGACAAGGAAACCCCUCCUCGUUAUCGGACAUAGGCAAAGCUUCAAAUAAAAUCUCGAUUCUGAUGCAAUACAUUUAUAUAAGGCUCACCUUUUUAAAGCAGCAACCAAGUUAGGUUCUUCUUUAUAAUUGAAAGCCUCAUCAAAUCCAAACUUGUUCUUCAGCAAAUCAACCUUAAGUGACAGAAACAAUAUAUAUAUAUAUAUAUAUAUUACAAAAAGAAAAGGAAAGAAAAGUGUAAAAAGUUCCAGUGUAAUAGUGAACGCUGUAGAAUGACACUAUCAGAGUCAUUGACCAUCGGAUGAAUAUCAAUUGAGUGCAGCAUGUUGAAAAAUAAAACUAAACGAGUUUAACACACUUGAUGAGUGACUGGUCCCCAAUAUUUGUACUGAGGAACAAGAUUUUCUCUUCUAUUUUCCAAGUAUGUUAUUAUUUUUUAACUAACAUUUUCAGGUUGAGAAUUUGGCAAACAUCAAUAUACGUACAUGUUUCUAAAACAAAAUCAAUCUGAAUCACAGCUAUGAAUUGCCAACUAAUAUGCUAGUCCGCAUUGACCACUAAAUUGCAACGACUCACCUUUUCUUUGCUUCCAGCACUCCCAACAACAUAGCAACCCAACAACUUUGCAAAUUGCCCAACUAGUUGACCUACUGCUCCAGAUGCUGCUGAAACGUAGACUGUCUCUCCUUUCUUAGGAGAGCAAACCUCAUAAAAACCAGCAUAAGCAGUUAUUCCAGGCAUACCUAUAUAAAAAGAAUACAUUAGAUGAGCCUUGGGCAUCAAGCAGGACAUAUCUUGCAUUACAAAUUAAGCCUUGCAUAUACAUCUGAAAAGUACAUUUCACAAUGGUUUAAAUCUAUUAGGAUGGAUUAUUUUGUGAUCACGUUCAAGCAGAAAAUGGUGCUACAGAUCCAGGCAGGUAAAUUACUGCAUGACAAUCAUACAAAAUUUGAAAUUAUGUACCAAUGUCAUUCGAGGGAUUAGGCCCUCACGAGCUUUGGUGUACUUACACUCACAAUAAUCAAGUAUCAACCUAAUAUUAUAGAUUUCAGAAAGCUAGCUACUUGUAGCAGAAGCUAUUUUCAAAAAGAGAACUUUUAAAAUUGACAGUGGGGGGAAAUAGCAAUAGCAGCAUACCCAGAAUUCCAGUAUAAUAAGAGAGAGGGACAUCGGUGUUGUGAAUCUUAAACAGGGCCUCUGUUGCAGUGAUGACACUAUAUUCCUCCCACCCGGUAAUUCCCCAAACGAAGUCGCCUUGCUUAAACUUGGGAUCGCCAGAUUCCAGAACUUUAGCCACUCCAUAUCCAGUUAAAGGCUGCGAGAGAUUCAAUAUAUCAAUGUGUAAUCAUUAAAAGUAGAGAAAUCUUAAAUUGAAAAGGAUUAGCAUAAAGCAGAGAUAUUUAGAUACAAGAGGAAGAGGGUUUUGGUUUUAGAUCAUUAAAUCAUCCCGAACCGAGGUUGAAGAGACUGACCGAACCGGGGUUGAACGAGUUGACAUAACUGUCGCCGGGAUGGCGCUUGGUCAUACGGCCCCUCAUAUAUGGAUCGCAGGACAAGUAGAGGUUCUUCACCAAAACCGCACCACUCGAAGAACCUUCUGGAAGCUUCAGCUCUGUACUGCCAGUGGUCACUAGCAUGUCAGAUUCUUUGGGGAAGCCGGAGACUGUGUCUCUCAGGAUCACCUGCUUGUUCCUCAUGAUCACUUCCUCUGCUGCUCCUAUGAAACUUGCAAUUUGCAAUUUGCUUGAGCUUUUACCAAUAACUUCUGCUGCGGCUUCUCUCUCUCUAAGGAAUGUAUCCGAUUCAUAUUUAUAAAGAUUUUUUUUAAAUGAGUGAUUUUUAUAGAGAUUAUAAAUUUUUAAUUAGUUUCAUAGAAUUGAUAAAAGUGCUUUUAAUAAUUAGCCUUAAAAAUAUAAAAAAGUUAUUUAUUUAAUAAAUUUUUUAAAAGUCAUUAACUUUUUUGAAUAUCACCAAAUUUUUAAAUAUUUUUUAAAAAUUAUAAUUGAAUACCACUAGACUUUUAUAUACUUUUAAAAAAUCUAAAUUAAAUACCUUCAAAUUUUUAAACUCUAUAAAAAUCAUUAAAAGUUUAAAUUAGAUACACUAAUGUAAAUGGGUCUACAAAGUUGUAUGCGUGCCAAUUGAUACGAGCAAUGUCAACGGGUCUGCUCGAUGAUUUUGUGUCUGUGUGACGUGUGCGUAUGACACGUGUGAAUAAUCCAUUACAUUUCGACUUUGCCGAUUUCGAGUCUAUCGAACUCCACCCCUUAAGGCAAAGUCUAAGGCAAGGGCAAGCUAGGGCAAGCAAGGGCUGACACUAUUCACGUGAAUAGUGUCAGCCUUGCCAUUUGUGGUUCCACCCACAAGGGCAAAGUCUAGGGCAAUUACUAUUCAUUGUACUUUAUUUCCUAUUUUUUUAUACUUUAAAUCAUUAAUUUUGAUAAUCUUUUGUAAUUAAAUUUUCGGAUAAGAUUUUCGGAUGUGAAUCUCGGUUGCCACGUGUCUUAUUCCAGAUAAAAUUUUCGGAUAUUCAUUAAUAAAAAUUAUAAUCUCAGAUUUUCGAUAAAAUUUUCACCCUCUAAAAUUGUGCCACGUGUCCCAUGUCAGAUAAGAUUUUCAGAUAUUUUUAAAAAAUUAUAAUCUCAUAUUUCAGAUAAGAUUUUUACCCUAUAAAAUUGUGCCACGUGUCCCAUGUCUGAUAAGAUUUUCAGAUAUUUUUUUACAAAUAGUGAUCUCAGAUUUCAGAUAAGAUUUUCACCCUCUAAAAUUGUGCCACGUGUCAUCUCUAUCUUCUGAAUCCCUCUAUAUAACUACACCAUCAACACCACUCCUCUCACACCAUCUCUGAUAUAUUCCUUCAUUUCUCAGAUUUUACAAUUUCCCAUUAUACUCUCAAUGUCAAACUUCAGGAGGGUGUUGGAGAGGCAACAGAAAGAAUGGGAAGAAAUCCAGCGUAGACGUGAGGAAGAAGAUCGGGACGCCGAUGAAGAAGAGGAGGAAAUGCUUGAAGUAGCUGCGGUGUGUAUGAUGAAUCAAUCAAGCCAACACCAUCGUCGUCGUGCCCCGAAUGUGGACAGACGCAGAGAGUCUCGGGGUAAGAAUCUCUUGGAGGAUUACUUUAUCCCAAAUUCGUUAUAUCAUGCUCAUAAGUUUCGAGAGAGAUAUAGAAUGCAGCCACAUUUGUUCCAAAAAAUCAUGCAUGAUAUUUGUAAUUACGACACAUACUUCAUUCAAAAGCAUGAUGCUGUUGGAGUUUUGGGUCUUAUCCCGGAGCAAAAACUUACAGCUGCUUUGCGGAUGCUUGCUUAUGGGGCAUCUGCAGAGCAGGUGGAUGAAAUUGCAAGGAUGGGAAAAUCUACUAUCCUAGAGUGCUUGGUGAGAUUCUGUGAUGCAGUGGAAAAUUUGUACACGAGGGAGUACCUUCGCAAACCCACUCCGAGGGACCUGCAAAGGCUUCUACAAAAAGGCGAGGCUCGAGGUUUCCUAGGAAUGAUCGGAAGCAUCGAUUGCAUGCAUUGGCAGUGGAAGAAUUGUCCUACUGCGUGGCAAGGAGACUAUGGGAAUCGGAAGGGCCAAAAAAGUAUCAUUUUGGAGGCCAUAGCUUCAUUCGACACUUGGGUUUGGCAUGCCUUUUUCGGGGUUGCCGGAUCUCAGAAUGACCUCAAUGUCCUUGGUCAAUCCCCGGUGUUCGACGAGGUAUUGCGAGGUCAUUGCCCUCAGGUCACAUACCAAAUCAACAAUACCGUAUACUCUGGUGCGUACUACCUUGCCGAUGGAAUUUAUCCUAGGUGGACGACAUUCGUGAAAACAAUUCCGAAUCCCCAAUCCGAGAAGGAAAGAAGCUUUGCUUCAUUUCAAGAAGGUUACAGGAAAGACGUGGAAAGGUGUUUCGGUAUCUUGCAAGCUCGUUGGGCAAUUAUCAGGGGUGCUGCUCGGAUGCUAGACGAGGAGGUGCUGAGGAGUAUUAUGAUGACUUGCAUCAUCCUCCACAACAUGAUUGUGGAGGAUGAGUAUGACUACGAUGCUCCAGAGGUGUUUGAACCCGAUCCUAUGAACACGGCGUUGACAAGAAUAUAUGAAAGGCCGAUGGGACCAAAUGGACUACCAAUGGAGCCCGAACCAUUACUUCAGGAUGGUCGAUUCAACAACCCCAUGAUUGAUCGUUAUCAAGAAAUGCAAUCUUCAUAUGUUCACGAAAGACGUCAAGUUGACUUGAUCGAGCACUUGUGGCAGAUGAAAGGCAAUCACAAUGGAUGAAGGCUACAUUCGUGAUUUGUUUGGAAUUAUGCUUUGUUUUUAAUUAUGCUUUGUUUUUGUGUGUGGUUCUUUGUUUGGAAUUAUUAUGAUUUUGUGUGUGGUUUGUUUUGUGUGUUGUUUGCAAUAAAUGAAGGUUUGUUUUUAAUUAAUCUUUGUGAGGAAUGCUCAAAUGUUUGUAAUAAAUAGUCCAAUUAUAGAAUGCUUUUUUGAUUGAAUAAAAAAGAAACAAUACAACAAAUUAAAGGAUAAUACAACAAUUUUAAAAAAAAAACAACAAUUAUAAAAAAAUACAACAAUACAAUUUAAUGGUUUUUAUCAUUUAGCCAAUCCGUAUUGCUAGGUCCGUCGUCAUGGAAAAGUUUUCUUCUCAUCACAUCCCUUCGUUUAUGCUUCCAAUAAGCCUUUGUUUCAGGAGACAUAUGGCUCGUAUCCAUGGCCAUGAUUUUCAUCUCUCUCUCAUCGUCGUCUUUUUCUUUUGCAUGUUGCUUUUCAAUUGCAAAGGCUUCCAAUCGUGCCUUGUCCGCUUCAUCUCUCCUCAAGUCUCUCUCCAAUCUUAGAGAGUUGUUCUUAGCUAUUUGCUCGAAUAUUUGAACACAAUCAAUGUUCGAAGUGGCCCCUCUCUUGGCCUUUGCCGCCUUUCUCCCAAUAGGUCUCGGCGGAUGUGGGAGUGGUGACUCCGUUUCCAUUGGGGAGUCCAAUGGCGAUUCGGUUGAUGGCGAUUCGUGGAGCGGCGUCUCAUGCAACACAACCGGGGGUGCGGUAGGAAUAAUUUUGAAUCUGGAACAAUCCUUGACAAUUUCCCAACAUUGGAAAUGCACAAAACUUUUUUUCCCUUGCCCCGUGGCACCGAACCACAUUUGUGCUUGUAUGAUCUAUUCAAAAUAAAUAAUUGGAAGUGCAUUAAAAAAAUAUACAAUGCAAGAAAUUAUAAACUAUUUUGAAAUGCAAGAAUAAAAUUGAUUAUGUAAAUAAAUAUAGACAAAUUGAAAAUGCAAAAACAAAAAUUGAUUAUGUAAAGAAAUAGAAUAUGCAAUAAAAAAAAGUUACAUUAAAUUGAUUAAAAUGGCAAUUAAAAAUAUUUUACCUCAUCGGAAAGAUUCGCACCGCUCUGAAUGUUGUCCUUUGCUUUUGUCAAGGCAUUUCUCCAUUUCCCUAACUCUUUGUUUAGAAUUUUCCAUCUACUAGACAAAGCCAUUUCGGUCCGAAUGGAACCCGAUCUUUGACAAAAUUCUCCAUGAAUUUUGCUCCACAUAUGAUGGAACUUCAUCUCAUUGCCCGUGAUAGGGUCAUGACUAACGUUCACCCACGACUCGCACAAUGCAAUAUCUUCUAGGGUUGACCACGAGCCUCCGAUUUCAACAGAAGAUGACAUUUGUUUAUUUUCUACAAAUGGAAAGUUGUACAAAAAUGUGAGUGGAUAGUAAAAAAUAUUGGAAGGAGAAGAGUUUGUAUGGAAUUGGUGUGGAAAGUGGAAAAUUAUGAGUAGAGAGUAAAAAAUAUUGGAAGGAGAAGAGUUUGUAUGGAAUUGGUGUGGAAAGUGGAAAAUAUGAGUAGAGAGUAAAAAAUAUUGGAAGGAGAAGAGUUUGUAUGGAAUUGUGUGGAAAGUGAAAAAUAUGAGUAGAGAGUAAAAAAUAUUGGAAGGAGAAGAGUUUGUAUGGAAUUGGUGUGGAAAGUGGAAAAUAUGAGUAGAGAGUAAAAAAUAUUGGAAGGAGAAGAGUUUGUAUGGAAUUGUGUGGAAAGUGAAAAAUAUGAGUAGAGAGUAAAAAAUAUUGGAAGGAGAUGAGUUUGUAUGGAGAUUUGGUGUGGAAAAUGAAUUAUGUGAGUGGAGAGUAGAAAAUGUUGUAUGGAGAAGAAAUUGUAUGAAGAUUUGGUGUUGAAAGUAGAUAAAAUGGUUAGGUAUUUAUAGGGAAAAAAUACAUAAAUUUUUGGUAUUUUUUUAAAAAAAAUUUCAGAAUUUUUUCGGAUUUUUUAGGAUUUUUUUUAAAUUUUUUUGGCCAAAAAAAUGAGAACCGUAGGAUUUCUGAAAAAAAUCCAAUCGGAGCCACCCGGUGCCGACACGUGGCAGGUAACCGUUGGUGGUGACGCCAUCGCUGACGUCAUGAUGACGUCAGCACACUUCAGUCAAAUUUUUUUUACCGUUGGCGCGUGUAUUACACGGGCCAACGGUAAAAAAAUUUGAAUUUACUGCGCUGACGUCAUCAUGACGUCAGCGCUGACGUCACCUUAUCUCAGGCUCAAACCCAGUCCAUUUUUGCCCUUGGGCCUGCCCGGGUUCGUGGGGCCCGCCUGUUGCCCGGGCUGAUUUGGCUGCGCUGGAGGUCGACUUGGGCUGCUUGGGGCCUGUUGCCCGGGCCAGCCCGCUGCGCUGGAGUUGGCCUUACAGACACGAUUGCCUAUUGUGAAAAUCCAUCUAUGCAUUUUUUUGGUUUUCUUAAUCUUUCGGGAUUGGAAAUUAAGACCUCUUCCAACUUGACUUGGGAAGGAAAUGUUACACCCGCCCUAAUUUAAACAGACGACAACAACCACCACCAAAAAAAAAAAAUAACACCCUGCAAGUUGCAUGGAUUGAUUGAAAGAUCAAAAAAGUUCAACAACAUUUAUUAAACAAGCUUCGCCACAAACCUUGUACAAGUAGAACAAAUAUAAGGUUGUAAAUGGAGAAGAGCAUUUGCUUGCAUUUGCAUUUACAGUAGAUGAUGAUUCUACCGUACAGGCUAGGCUAGGCUAAAGAAAGAAAGAAAGCUUCAGUUCAGAAUUGAGAGAGAGAGAGGCAUGGAGGAGAGCGUCGAGUCUGAUCAAGUCAUUCUCGGGAAACUAGAACCACCUGCUUUCCUACAUUGCGCCCCGCAAAGAGCCCAAUCAGAGAUGCUGGAGCGCUCUCAAGCCCUUCAACUACAUCUUCCACGUAUGUUAUCUUCCCUUCUUUUAUGGCAGGCAAAACCAUUUCAAGAAACUUCCCGUAAAGAUGAUAGUAAUUAAAAACCAGGAAACCUUCCAUGCGGACCUGUUUAAUGACCAGAUACAUUAAAUUAUGUACCCCUUCUGGCUGCUCCAGGUUGUACUGUGAGAUCAUCCCACAAACUGCAAUCCGACCGUGGACCCUCAUGUUCGGCAGCACUGCAUCAAGCAUCUUUCCCCCAACAUUUUCAAAGUAUAUAUCGAUGCCCUCAGGAAAGA